Molecule: small nucleolar RNA, 107 nt
Organism: Ricinus communis (castor bean)
Lineage: Eukaryota; Viridiplantae; Streptophyta; Magnoliopsida; Malpighiales; Euphorbiaceae
Source: RefSeq, a predicted model, not a curated record
AAACCAUGGUGCGGGUCAAAUUGAAGCAAGUCCUUAUACCUCUCCUAGGCAUCAUACAUGUUUUUGUCAUCGAACUGCACAAAAGAAUAUAUGUCAUUUCUCAGUUU